Molecule: ribosomal RNA, 506 nt
Filed under: uncultured bacterium
Lineage: Bacteria
Description: partial 16S ribosomal RNA
Rfam family: Bacterial small subunit ribosomal RNA
Source: RNAcentral
GAUGAACGCUAGCUACAGGCUUAACACAUGCAAGUCGAGGGGUAACGAGAGGGAAGCUUGCUUCCCUUGUCGACGACCGGCGCACGGGUGAGUAACGCGUAUCCAACCUGCCCCCAACUAGGGAAUAACCUUGCGAAAGUAAGACUAAUACCCUAUAAUUUCCUCAGAUGUCAUCUGACGAGGAAUAAAGAUUUAUCGGUUGUGGAUGGGGAUGCGUCUGAUUAGCUUGUUGGCGGGGUAACGGCCCACCAAGGCAACGAUCAGUAGGGGUUCUUGGAGGAAGGUCCCCCACAUUGGAACUGAGACACGGUCCAAACUCCUACGGGAGGCAGCAGUGAGGAAUAUUGGUCAAUGGGCGGAAGCCUGAACCAGCCAAGUAGCGUGCAGGAUGACGGCCCUAUGGGUUGUAAACUGCUUUUAUACAGGAAUAAAGUUAGCCACGUGUGGUUAUUUGUAGGUACUGUAUGAAUAAGGACCGGCUAAUUCCGUGCCAGCCGCCGCAGUAA